UACGGAGGGUGCGAGCGUUGUCCGGAUUUAUUGGGUUUAAAGGGUGCGUAGGUGGCUUUGUAAGUCAGUGGUGAAAUGCGGUCGCUCAACGAUCGAACUGCCAUUGAUACUGCGGGGCUUGAGACAAGUGGAGGUUGCCGGAACGGAUGGUGUAGCGGUGAAAUGCAUAGAUAUCAUCCAGAACACCGAUUGCGAAGGCAGGUGACUACGUUUGAUCUGACACUGAGGCACGAAAGCAUGGGGAGCAAACAGG
RNAcentral lists this ribosomal RNA (253 nucleotides) under uncultured bacterium. Its description in RNAcentral is "partial 16S ribosomal RNA". It matches the Rfam family "Bacterial small subunit ribosomal RNA", at positions 524 to 776 of the family's 1533-position model. The record is from RNAcentral.